This 300-nucleotide ribosomal RNA is filed under the name uncultured fungus. RNAcentral's name for it is "eukaryotic LSU rRNA". The stretch from base 1 to 91 matches the Rfam family "5.8S ribosomal RNA", at positions 64 to 154 of the family's 154-position model. Lineage: Eukaryota; Fungi. The record is from RNAcentral.
AGUGUGAAUUGCAGAAUUCAGUGAAUCAUCGAAUCUUUGAACGCACAUUGCGCCCCUUGGUAUUCCAUGGGGCAUGCCUGUUCGAGCGUCAUUUGUACCUUCAAGCUCUGCUUGGUGUUGGGUGUUUGUCUCCUGUAGACUCGCCUUAAAACAAUUGGCAGCCGGCGUAUUGAUUUCGGAGCGCAGUACAUCUCGCGCUUUGCACUCAUAACGACGACAUCCAAAAGUACAUUUUUACACUCUUGACCUCGGAUCAGGUAGAGAUACCCGCUGAACUUAAGCAUAUCAAUAAGCGGAGGA